Molecule: long non-coding RNA, 1713 nt
Organism: Betta splendens (Siamese fighting fish)
Lineage: Eukaryota; Metazoa; Chordata; Actinopteri; Anabantiformes; Osphronemidae
Source: Ensembl
AUUAUGACUAUCUAAUGACUAUUUUAUAGUUUAGUAAUUGCCCACACACAACCUCUAAAUCCUUUCAAAAUAAAAGCACCAAUGUAAUUCAUUACCUUAAAUGGCAAGAUUUUUGUUUCUGACUGGUAAAUAUCUACUACUUAUUAAACGAUUACACAGUUAGGUAAUGCUUUACAAAUAGUUUCUUCAAAUCAAAAAGCUAGUCAGCUUAUUUAUGAUUGUCAACAAUGCACCUUGGUCAACUUUUUAAUCUUUGACAUCUUUUCAGCUCGGUCAAAUUAGGAAUUUUUUUAAAUCACCAUCUUUUGUCAUCGUUUUAUUCUUUGUCAACGUUUUCUCGUUUUCAUCGUUUUCAUCUUUUUGCCGUAGUCUACUUUUGGACGCAGUCAACUUUUUGACGUCAGCAGCUUAAUCAGCGUCUGUCAUCGUUGCGGCAGCAGAUAAGCUCUCCCACGUAAUUUCUCGAGAAAUUACUUUUUCUAGUUUUUCUUACUAUUAUUAUUUCGCCCCGUUUUUCGGUCGCUUUCAUCGUCUCAACGCUUCGUCGUAGAAUCGCCGUUCAACUUUCUAAACGUGUUUCGUCUUUAGGAGAUGGGGGCUAUUACUUUUCACGUUUUCAGCUUUUCAACUUUUAACGUUAUUCAACGUUUUUCGUCGUUUUUGUAUAAUGGUCAUCUCGUCUAUGGGAAUCAUCGUUCAACUUUUUGUCAACUUGCCUCUUUUCGUCAGCUUCUGUCAUCGUCAUAAUUUGGCGUAGAAACGUCAUUUCAACGUCAAAAGCGUCUAUCAUCUUUCAGCGUUCUCCGUGUAAAUCAGCGUCCUCGUAUAUUUUAUAGUUUUCGACUUGUGAGCGUUUAAAUAUGGUGUGGUUUUUGUUAAAUUUUCAGCUUUUCCAUUAGUGUGUAUUGCGUGUGCUAGAGUGCAUGAUGUCACAGCUACAGUGAGAAGGUGCCCGUUUUUAAGACAGAACUUCUGUCUCUAACUCGUCACUACAGCCACAAUUUUUACUCUAUCAACGUAAUUACUUCACUAAAUGGUAGUCAUACUUGUCUUCUUUCUAAUGAUGUGUCUGGCUUUACCCUUAGACCUAUACGUUAGUCGCUAUCAACCUCAAAGCGCAGAGAGAUCCCGAAAUUCUCCCAUAGACUCUAAUGAUCAUUUUCGGUAGACGUCUGGGGAGAAAAACAGAGGAGACAUAUUUUGAAAUUGCCACUGUGGCUACAAGCUUUUGUCCUCAAACAUAAAAUUCACACCAUUUGCUCAUUGAAGCCUUGGGACUCGUAAAAUGAAAUAAUCUUUGUGAUAACUAUCGUGGUUUAGCUGGAACAAGCCUGUUUAUACAGGGUGAAACUCUGCUUUUACAGAGCAGAGUGAGCCUGAUUUUCCCGCCUUUCGUCUCCAUGGCGACGGCGCAGCUGCAGAUGUCACUGACAGGUCAAACUCCUGAUGCUCAGUGUAGACAGCAGUUCCAUGCUUAUUACUGAUUACUCAACUACACUAUUGGAUUGUGUAGUAAUUAAGCACACACUUCCUCUAAAUCCUUUAAAAAAAAAGCACCAAGCCAAAUAAUUAGCUUUAAUAGCAAUAUUUCUGCUUUUAGAUGGGUAAUUAUGACUAUUUAAAGAUAGAUUAACAGUUUAGUAAUUACCCACACAUGCUUCCUCUACAUCCUUUCAAAAUAAAAGCACCAAUGCCAAAUAUUAGCUUUAACUG